UACAGAGGGUGCGAGCGUUAAUCGGAGUUACUGGGCGUAAAGGGCGCGUAGGCGGUUAUGUGUGUGAGACGUGAAAGCCCCGGGCUUAACCUGGGAAAGUCGUCUUAAACUGCAUGACUGGAGUACUGUAGAGGGUAGUGGAAUUUCCGGUGUAGCGGUGAAAUGCGUAGAGAUCGGAAGGAACACCAGUGGCGAAGGCGGCUACCUGGACAGAUACUGACGCUGAGGCGCGAAAGCGUGGGGAGCAAACAGG
RNAcentral lists this ribosomal RNA (253 nucleotides) under uncultured bacterium. RNAcentral describes it as "partial 16S ribosomal RNA". It matches the Rfam family "Bacterial small subunit ribosomal RNA", at positions 524 to 776 of the family's 1533-position model. The record is from RNAcentral.